GGGGGCGUGGCGGAAUGGUAGACGCUACGGACUUAACGAAAUUGAGCCUUGUUAGAGAAAUCUAUCAAGUGACCGCUCUCAAACUCAGGGAAACCUAAGUCUGAAAUGCAGAUAAGGCAAUCCUGAGCCAAGCCUCAUAAUUUUGAGGAAGGUGCAGAGACUCGACGGGAGCUACCCUAACACGUAAGGCUGAGGGUAAAGAGAGAGUCCAAUUCUUAAAGCCAAUACUUCGGCAAUAGCGAAAGCUAUAAGAGAAUGAAAAUCCGUUGACCGCAAGGUCGUGAGAGUUCAAGUCUCUCCGCCCCCA
Molecule: transfer RNA, 307 nt
Filed under: cyanobacterium endosymbiont of Epithemia turgida isolate EtSB Lake Yunoko
Lineage: Bacteria; Bacillati; Cyanobacteriota
Description: tRNA-Und (NNN) (tRNA-Und-NNN-1-1)
Rfam family: Group I catalytic intron (bases 25-221)
About the family: Group I catalytic introns are large self-splicing ribozymes. They catalyse their own excision from mRNA, tRNA and rRNA precursors in a wide range of organisms.
Source: RNAcentral